CCUACGGGGGGCAGCAGUGGGGAAUAUUGGGCAAUGGGCGCAAGCCUGACCCAGCAACGCCGCGUGAAGGAAGAAGGCUCUCGGGUUGUAAACUUCUUUUAAGAGGGAAGAGCAGAAGACGGUACCUCUUGAAUAAGCCACGGCUAACUACGUGCCAGCAGCCGGGGCAAUACGUAGGUGGCAGGCGUUGUCCGGAUUUACUGGGUGUAAAGGGCGUGCAGCCGGGAAGACAAGUCAGAUGGGAAAUCCCGCGGCUCAACCGCGGAACGGCAGUUGAAACUGUUUUUCUUGAGUGCCGGAGAGGUCAGCGGAAUGCCGUGUGUAGCGGUGAAAUGCGUAGGUAUAAGGGAGGACACCAGUGGCGAAGGCGGAUGACUGGACGGCAACUGACGGUGGGGCGCGAAAGCGUGGGGAGCAAACAGGAAUAGAUACCCGUGUAGUC
RNAcentral lists this ribosomal RNA (442 nucleotides) under uncultured bacterium. Its description in RNAcentral is "partial 16S ribosomal RNA". It matches the Rfam family "Bacterial small subunit ribosomal RNA", at positions 338 to 795 of the family's 1533-position model. The record is from RNAcentral.